RNAcentral lists this ribosomal RNA (506 nucleotides) under uncultured bacterium. Its description in RNAcentral is "bacterial SSU rRNA". It matches the Rfam family "Bacterial small subunit ribosomal RNA", at positions 8 to 507 of the family's 1533-position model. The record is from RNAcentral.
AGAGUUUGAUCCUGGCUCAGAUUGAACGCUGGCGGCAUGCCUUACACAUGCAAGUCGAACGGCAGCACGGGAGCUUGCUCCUGGUGGCGAGUGGCGAACGGGUGAGUAAUGCAUCGGAACGUGCCCUGAAGUGGGGGAUAACGUAGCGAAAGUUACGCUAAUACCGCAUAUUCUGUGAGCAGGAAAGCAGGGGAUCUUCGGACCUUGCGCUUUUGGAGCGGCCGAUGUCGGAUUAGCUAGUUGGUGGGGUAAAGGCCUACCAAGGCGACGAUCCGUAGCGGGUCUGAGAGGAUGAUCCGCCACACUGGGACUGAGACACGGCCCAGACUCCUACGGGAGGCAGCAGUGGGGAAUUUUGGACAAUGGGCGGAAGCCUGAUCCAGCCAUGCCGCGUGAGUGAAGAAGGCCUUCGGGUUGUAAAGCUCUUUCGGCGGGGAAGAAAUUGCACGGGUUAAUACCCUGUGUAGAUGACGGUACCCGAAUAAGAAGCACCGGCUAACUACGUG